Caenorhabditis elegans is the source of this 21-nucleotide non-coding RNA. The record is from Ensembl. NCBI's taxonomy places the organism in Eukaryota, Metazoa, Nematoda, Chromadorea, Rhabditida, Rhabditidae.
UGUUCCAGAGUUCCAACCUCA